AAGUCGUAACAAGGUUUCCGUAGGUGAACCUGCGGAAGGAUCAUUAUCGUAUUACACGAGCACGAAGAGCUGUCGCUGACUCCGCAAGGAGGUCGUGCACGCUCCGAGUGUUCUUUACAUCCAUCUCACCCUUGUGCAUCUUCGCGUGUGUCCCUUUCCUUUAUGGAGAAGGGCUCACGUUUUUACACAAACCCCCAUUUUACAAGUGUUAGAAUGUCUCAUUUGCGAUUAAACGCAAUUAAUACAACUUUCAACAACGGAUCUCUUGGCUCUC
Molecule: unclassified non-coding RNA, 274 nt
Filed under: air metagenome
Description: partial contains small subunit ribosomal RNA, internal transcribed spacer 1, and 5.8S ribosomal RNA
Rfam family: Eukaryotic small subunit ribosomal RNA (bases 1-46)
Source: RNAcentral